GGGGUCAUCGUCUAACAGGCAGGAUCCCGCCUUUGCACGGCGGAAAUCUGGGUUCGAAUCCCAGUGACUCCA
This 72-nucleotide transfer RNA is filed under the name Planctomycetota bacterium. RNAcentral describes it as "tRNA-Ala". It matches the Rfam family "tRNA". Rfam says of the family: Transfer RNA (tRNA) molecules are approximately 80 nucleotides in length. Their secondary structure includes four short double-helical elements and three loops (D, anti-codon, and T loops). Further hydrogen bonds mediate the characteristic L-shaped molecular structure. tRNAs have two regions of fundamental functional importance: the anti-codon, which is responsible for specific mRNA codon recognition, and the 3' end, to which the tRNAs corresponding amino acid is attached (by aminoacyl-tRNA synthetases). tRNAs cope with the degeneracy of the genetic code in two manners: having more than one tRNA (with a specific anti-codon) for a particular amino acid; and 'wobble' base-pairing, i.e. permitting non-standard base-pairing at the 3rd anti-codon position. The record is from RNAcentral. Lineage: Bacteria; Pseudomonadati; Planctomycetota.